GAUGAACGCUGGCGGCGUGCCUAACACAUGCAAGUCGAACGGAGUCCAGCCUUUAAGACCUUCGGGUCAAAGAGGGGAAGACUGAGUGGCGGACGGGUGAGUAACACGUGGGCAACCUGGCUCAUAGAGGGGGAUAACAGAGAGAAAUUUCUGCUAAUACCGCAUAAGCACACACUGCCGCAUGGCAGAGGGUGAAAAGAGAAUCGCUAUGAGAUGGACCCGCGUCUGAUUAGCCAGUUGGCAGGGUAAGAGCCUACCAAAGCGACGAUCAGUAGCCGAUCUGAGAGGAUGAACGGCCACAUUGGGACUGAGACACGGCCCAAACUCCUACGGGAGGCAGCAGUGGGGGAUAUUGCACAAUGGGGGGAACCCUGAUGCAGCGACGCCGCGUGAGUGAAGAAGUAUUUCGGUAUGCAAAGCUCUAUCAGCAGGGAAGAUAAUGACAGUACCUGAAUAAGAAGCCCCGGCUAACUACGUG
Molecule: ribosomal RNA, 478 nt
Filed under: uncultured bacterium
Lineage: Bacteria
Description: partial 16S ribosomal RNA
Rfam family: Bacterial small subunit ribosomal RNA
Source: RNAcentral